GACGAACGCUGGCGGCGUGCUUAACACAUGCAAGUCGAACGGAAAGGCCCUUCUUUUGUGGGGUGCUCGAGUGGCGAACGGGUGAGUAACACGUGAGUAACCUGCCCUUGACUUUGGGAUAACUUCAGUAAACUGUGGCUAAUACCGGAUAGGAGCUCCUGCUGCAUGGUGGGGGUUGGAGAGUUUCGGCGGUUGGGGAUGGACUGGCGGCUUAUCAGCUUGUUGGUGGGGUAGUGUCUUACCAAGGAGUUGACGGGUAGCCGGCCUGAGAGGGUGACCGGCCACAAUGGGACGGAGAUAAGGCCCAGACUACUACGGGAGGAAGCAGUGGGGAAUAUUGCACAAUGGGCGGAAGCCUGAUGCAGCAACGACGCGUGCGGGAUGAAGGACUUCGGGUUGUAAACCGCUUUCGCCUGUGACGAAGAGUGAGUGACGGUAAUGGGUAAAGAAGCACCGGCUAACUACGUG
Molecule: ribosomal RNA, 468 nt
Filed under: uncultured bacterium
Lineage: Bacteria
Description: partial 16S ribosomal RNA
Rfam family: Bacterial small subunit ribosomal RNA
Source: RNAcentral